CGAAUGUUUAUCAAUGGCGGAAAAGUUGAAAGCAUGAGAGAACAUGUUUCUUUCUGUCUCAUUUGUUAGGAUUGGAAAUGCCGACUACUAAAGCAGAUUCGCGUGUAGUUAAGAGAAAUCCAUUUGAGGAGCCACCUGUCCCAAAGGCUUUCUACCAUCCAGGUUCACCCAAAAGGCUCUCCAAAAAGGACAGAAAUACUGCAUUAAGUCCAGACAGGAAAAAUGAGCAGAGCAUCAGGGAGUGUAGAAGUACUGUUCAAGAUGACCCUUUUCUAAGUGGAUCGCACAGGUUUACAGAGGCUUAUGAUCCAAGCCCUAAGGAUUCUUCUUCAAAGUUUGACGAGUCCUGGCCCAGCAGUGAGCGACCUUCCUGUG
Liolophura sinensis is the source of this 375-nucleotide long non-coding RNA. RefSeq lists it as uncharacterized. The transcript has 3 exons. NCBI's taxonomy places the organism in Eukaryota, Metazoa, Mollusca, Polyplacophora, Chitonida, Chitonidae. The record is from RefSeq and is a predicted model, not a curated record.